Molecule: long non-coding RNA, 200 nt
Organism: Xenopus tropicalis (tropical clawed frog)
Lineage: Eukaryota; Metazoa; Chordata; Amphibia; Anura; Pipidae
Exons: 3
Source: RefSeq, a predicted model, not a curated record
GCAAUGAGUCACACACGUGUGGGGCUGCAGAGAGAGGCACAGAGAUGCCGGGUGCCAGGCCAAGCCAGAUGGGUGCCCAAGGCAAGCUAUGGGAAGACAGAGAGAAGAGGAUUCGAACUCAAACUUUGAUGAAUCUGCCCCAAAAUGUGGUGUAAAAAGCAGAAUAUAUCAGCAUCUUUUAAAGUGGUCCUCCACCAGGU